Molecule: ribosomal RNA, 838 nt
Filed under: Enterococcus sp. Gull12_E10_1
Lineage: Bacteria; Bacillati; Bacillota; Bacilli; Lactobacillales; Enterococcaceae
Description: bacterial SSU rRNA
Rfam family: Bacterial small subunit ribosomal RNA
Source: RNAcentral
UCUUUUUCCCCGAGAGCUUGCUCCCCCUUGAGAAAGAGGAGUGGCGGACGGGUGAGUAACACGUGGGUAACCUGCCCAUCAGAAGGGGAUAACACUUGGAAACAGGUGCUAAUACCGUAUAACAAUUUAUGCCGCAUGGUUUUGAUUUGAAAGGCGCUUUCGGGUGUCGCUGAUGGAUGGACCCGCGGUGCAUUAGCUAGUUGGUGAGGUAACGGCUCACCAAGGCCACGAUGCAUAGCCGACCUGAGAGGGUGAUCGGCCACAUUGGGACUGAGACACGGCCCAAACUCCUACGGGAGGCAGCAGUAGGGAAUCUUCGGCAAUGGACGAAAGUCUGACCGAGCAACGCCGCGUGAGUGAAGAAGGUUUUCGGAUCGUAAAACUCUGUUGUUAGAGAAGAACAAGGAUGAUAGUAACUGUUCAUCCCUUGACGGUAUCUAACCAGAAAGCCACGGCUAACUACGUGCCAGCAGCCGCGGUAAUACGUAGGUGGCAAGCGUUGUCCGGAUUUAUUGGGCGUAAAGCGAGCGCAGGCGGUUUCUUAAGUCUGAUGUGAAAGCCCCCGGCUCAACCGGGGAGGGUCAUUGGAAACUGGGAGACUUGAGUGCAGAAGAGGAGAGUGGAAUUCCAUGUGUAGCGGUGAAAUGCGUAGAUAUAUGGAGGAACACCAGUGGCGAAGGCGGCUCUCUGGUCUGUAACUGACGCUGAGGCUCGAAAGCGUGGGGAGCAAACAGGAUUAGAUACCCUGGUAGUCCACGCCGUAAACGAUGAGUGCUAAGUGUUGGAGGGUUUCCGCCCUUCAGUGCUGCAGCUAACGCAUUAAGCACUCCGCCUGGGG